RNAcentral lists this transfer RNA (74 nucleotides) under Candidozyma auris. RNAcentral's name for it is "[Candida] auris tRNA-Ile". Lineage: Eukaryota; Fungi; Ascomycota; Pichiomycetes; Serinales; Metschnikowiaceae. The record is from RNAcentral.
GAAUAACGUCGCUUAUGUCAUAUCUACACCCGUGCACCACACACCGUCUAUAUACUUUGGUGGUAAGGAAAUCA